RNAcentral lists this ribosomal RNA (454 nucleotides) under uncultured bacterium. Its description in RNAcentral is "bacterial SSU rRNA". It matches the Rfam family "Bacterial small subunit ribosomal RNA", at positions 340 to 786 of the family's 1533-position model. The record is from RNAcentral.
UACGGAAGGCAGCAGUGGGGAAUAUUGCACAAUGGGCGAAAGCCUGAUGCAGCUAUGCCGAGUGUAUGAAGAAGGCCUUAGGGUUGUAAAGUACUUUCAUCGGGGAGGAAAAACAAAACUAAUAAUUUUAUUUCUUGACGUUACCCGAAAAAGAAGCACCGGCUAACUCCGUGCCAGCAGCCGCGGUAAUACGGAGGGUGCUAGCGUUAAUCAGAAUUACUGGGCGUAAAGAGCACGUAGGUGGUUUUUUAAGUCAGAUGUGAAAUCCCUGGGCUUAACCUAGGAACUGCAUUUUGAAACUGAAAUACUAGAGUAUCGUAGAGGGAGGUAGAAUUCUAGGUGUAGCGGUGAAAUGCGUAGAUAUCUGGAGGAAUACCUGUGGCGAAAGCGGCCUCCUAAACGAAUACUGACACUGAGGUGCGAAAGCGUGGGGAGCAAACAGGGAUUAGAUACC